UCGGCUGGCCCUGGGGGGGAAGGAGGGGCGGGGGUUUGGGUGGGAAAGGGGCGGCAGCCGCGGGGAGCUCGAGGCCGCCGGUGUUCCCCGCAAGAAGCCCCCCUCGGCGAGGCGGCCCUUUCUUCCCGCCUGAGGGAGCGCGGCCGCCGUCCCCUCCGAGCCCCGCGUGCGCGGCCACACGUAGGCGGGCGGGGAGGGGGCCGCGGCUGCCGAGCCGCACGUAGCGGGGGGGGGGGGGGGGUGGGCGCGGCCUCGGCGGCGGGGACCGGCCCGUAGGGGCGAGCGGCUGCCGAGGCGGCUGGGGAAGAGCAGCGCUGGCGACGGAGAAAGCCCCGCGCCCUCAAUGGAUUUUAAAUUCUGGCUCCCGUACCGUGAUGUUCUCCAAUUCACCAUUAGCAUCAACUAAUCGAUCAAAAGUUCACUCCUUAAAGCUAGGCGCUUCAAGCUAUCAGCUCCUACAAUGGCACCAGCUUCCACAAUGCUUCAGGCACAAAAGCAUCUUUCCAUAUUUAUUAUAUUUCCCCAAAAGGUUGCUGGAAUCCAACCUUUAGCAGCCUUUAUAGAUGAGUAGGAAAUGAACGGCCAUCAGCCAAACAGCUGUUGUCUUUAACCACCACUGACCACCGCCGUCGUUGGUUAUAGGAACAGGACCAUUAGCAGAGCUGUUGCAUAUGAACUGGACAGGUUUUAGCAGCUGCAGGGGGAGAGCUGCACCUGCUGGGGUUUGGUUUGGCCUUUUUUUUUUUUCCUGUAAAGACAGGACAUUUUUAUUUAUCAUAUGGAUUCCUGUUUAGAGACAUAGGGCAGUGACUGUGUUCAUCCUGUACGUGACCCUGUCUUCAACAGAUUGUACUGAUUUUGAAAGAGAAUGCCAGUGCUCUUGGGAAACGGUUAUAAAGUACAUCCCCCUCCCCGCCAAUGGACUUAAGGAUUCAAAGGACGAGCAAGUUCAUCAUUACUUACAGGUCAAGCCAAGCCCUACUUGGUUACAGGAGUUCUCCCUUAAUUUAAAAGGAGUGGAGGAGCUUGGCUCUGGAGUGAUGCCGAGUUUGUAAAGCCUGAGUGUCUUUCUUCUGAUUUGGGGAUUUUAGGCAUGCAGUGAGUGUUGAGAUUUCUCAGAGAUGAUGUUUCAAGAACGCUAGAUGGAAAUUUUUUUUUUUUUUUUUGACAAGGCAGAUGGAGCUGCAUGUCAUGAUACUUACAUUAUGUAAGAUGACGUAAGAUGUGGUGAGGAUGAGGCUGAUGUGCCCAUAUGUUAACCUGUGCUAAGUCUUUCCUUGCAGAAAGUUUGGCUACAGUGUAAAGAAUGAAAAUGCAGAGGAAUAAAAACAAAAAAGCAA
Tyto alba (common barn owl) is the source of this 1340-nucleotide long non-coding RNA. RefSeq lists it as uncharacterized. Lineage: Eukaryota; Metazoa; Chordata; Aves; Strigiformes; Tytonidae. The transcript is spliced from 2 exons. The record is from RefSeq and is a predicted model, not a curated record.